This 16-nucleotide ribosomal RNA is filed under the name Dendrobium speciosum var. boreale. Its description in RNAcentral is "partial 26S ribosomal RNA". The record is from RNAcentral. Lineage: Eukaryota; Viridiplantae; Streptophyta; Magnoliopsida; Asparagales; Orchidaceae.
GCGACCCCAGGAUGGC